AAGCAGCUUGCUGCUUUGCUGACGAGUGGCGGACGGGUGAGUAAUGUCUGGGAAACUGCCCGAUGGAGGGGGAUAACUACUGGAAACGGUAGCUAAUACCGCAUAACGUCGCAAGACCAAAGAGGGGGACCUUAGGGCCUCUUGCCAUCGGAUGUGCCCAGAUGGGAUUAGCUAGUAGGUGGGGUAAAGGCUCACCUAGGCGACGAUCCCUAGCUGGUCUGAGAGGAUGACCAGCCACACUGGAACUGAGACACGGUCCAGACUCCUACGGGAGGCAGCAGUGGGGAAUAUUGCACAAUGGGCGCAAGCCUGAUGCAGCCAUGCCGCGUGUAUGAAGAAGGCCUUCGGGUUGUAAAGUACUUUCAGCGGGGAGGAAGGGAGUAAAGUUAAUACCUUUGCUCAUUGACGUUACCCGCAGAAGAAGCACCGGCUAACUCCGUGCCAGCAGCCGCGGUAAUACGGAGGGUGCAAGCGUUAAUCGGAAUUACUGGGCGUAAAGCGCACGCAGGCGGUUUGUUAAGUCAGAUGUGAAAUCCCCGGGCUCAACCUGGGAACUGCAUCUGAUACUGGCAAGCUUGAGUCUCGUAGAGGGGGGUAGAAUUCCAGGUGUAGCGGUGAAAUGCGUAGAGAUCUGGAGGAAUACCGGUGGCGAAGGCGGCCCCCUGGACGAAGACUGACGCUCAGGUGCGAAAGCGUGGGGAGCAAACAGGAUUAGAUACCCUGGUAGUCCACGCCGUAAACGAUGUCGACUUGGAGGUUGUGCCCUUGAGGCGUGGCUUCCGGAGCUAACGCGUUAAGUCGACCGCCUGGGGAGUACGGCCGCAAGGUUAAAACUCAAAUGAAUUGACGGGGGCCCGCACAAGCGGUGGAGCAUGUGGUUUAAUUCGAUGCAACGCGAAGAACCUUACCUGGUCUUGACAUCCACGGAAGUUUUCAGAGAUGAGAAUGUGCCUUCGGGAACCGUGAGACAGGUGCUGCAUGGCUGUCGUCAGCUCGUGUUGUGAAAUGUUGGGUUAAGUCCCGCAACGAGCGCAACCCUUAUCCUUUGUUGCCAGCGGUCCGGCCGGGAACUCAAAGGAGACUGCCAGUGAUAAACUGGAGGAAGGUGGGGAUGACGUCAAGUCAUCAUGGCCCUUACGACCAGGGCUACACACGUGCUACAAUGGCGCAUACAAAGAGAAGCGACCUCGCGAGAGCAAGCGGACCUCAUAAAGUGCGUCGUAGUCCGGAUUGGAGUCUGCAACUCGACUCCAUGAAGUCGGAAUCGCUAGUAAUCGUGGAUCAGAAUGCCACGGUGAAUACGUUCCCGGGCCUUGUACACACCGCCCGUCACACCAUGGGAGUGGGUUGCAAAAGAAGUAGGUAGCUUAACCUUCGGGAGGGCGCUUACCACUUUGUGAUUCAUGACUGGGGUGAAGUCGUAACAAGGUAACCGUAGGGGAACCUGCGGUUGGAUCACCUCCUUACCUUAAAGAAGC
RNAcentral lists this ribosomal RNA (1478 nucleotides) under Escherichia coli. Its description in RNAcentral is "bacterial SSU rRNA". It matches the Rfam family "Bacterial small subunit ribosomal RNA". The record is from RNAcentral. Lineage: Bacteria; Pseudomonadati; Pseudomonadota; Gammaproteobacteria; Enterobacterales; Enterobacteriaceae.